RNAcentral lists this ribosomal RNA (253 nucleotides) under uncultured bacterium. RNAcentral describes it as "partial 16S ribosomal RNA". It matches the Rfam family "Bacterial small subunit ribosomal RNA", at positions 524 to 776 of the family's 1533-position model. The record is from RNAcentral.
GCCAGAGGGUGCAAACGUUGUUCGGAAUUACUGGGCGUAAAGCGCGUGUAGGCGGCUUGGCAAGUCGGGUGUGAAAGCCCCGGGCUCAACCUGGGAAGUGCACUCGAAACUGCUUGACUUGAGUACUGGAGAGGGAAGCGGAAUUCUCGGUGUAGAGGUGAAAUUCGUAGAUAUCGAGAGGAACACCGGUGGCGAAGGCGGCUUCCUGGACAGUGACUGACGCUGAGACGCGAAAGCGUGGGGAGCAAACAGG